RNAcentral lists this ribosomal RNA (468 nucleotides) under uncultured bacterium. RNAcentral's name for it is "partial 16S ribosomal RNA". The stretch from base 49 to 468 matches the Rfam family "Bacterial small subunit ribosomal RNA", at positions 36 to 507 of the family's 1533-position model. The record is from RNAcentral.
GGGGGGGGGGGGGGGGGGGGGGGGGGGGGGGAGGUGGGGGGGGGGGGCCCGGCGGUGGGGGGGGGCGCGGGGGGCGAGCGGGUGGGGGAGCCGUGCGUCCCCUGCCGUUGCCUGUGGGCGAGCUUCAGGGGCCUGGGGCUCAUGCCGGCUACGAGCUCCUGCCGCGGGGUGGUGGUUGGCCAGCUUCGGCGGUUGGGGAUGGACUCGCGGCGUCUCAGCUUGUUGGUGGGGUAGUCGCUGACCCAGGCUUGCACGGGUAGCCGGGCUGAGAGGCGGACCGGCCACAUUGGGACUGAGAUACGGCCCAGACGCCUACGGGAGGCAGCAGUAGGGAAUAUUGCACAAUGGGCGGAAGCCUGAUGCAGCAACGCCGCGUGCGGGAUGACGGCCUUCGGGUUGUAAACCGCUUUCGCCUGUGACGAAGCGUGAGUGACGGUAAUGGGUAAAGAAGCACCGGCUAACUACGUG